RNAcentral lists this long non-coding RNA (442 nucleotides) under Bos taurus (domestic cattle). RNAcentral's name for it is "long non-coding RNA NONBTAT009465". The record is from RNAcentral. Lineage: Eukaryota; Metazoa; Chordata; Mammalia; Artiodactyla; Bovidae.
GUGCGCUGUGUGCAGAGCCCUUGACUGUUGAAGCGUCUGUGAAGUUGAUGGCUCUGUGAGUGUUGCCGUCUCUCUGGAGCUUCCCUCACUCAUGCUUCCCCAUCAGGUCUCCUCAGCCUCCUAGGGAGGAGGGGGUGUGGGUGCCGUGUCUGGCUCUGGCUCGGUCUGUCAGCAGCUGGAGGUAGCGGGGCGAUGCAGGCCUUCUGAGGCAGGCAGGACAGCCCAGGCUGUGGGAGGGGCGGCUCCCGCGGAGACUUCACGUCCAGCCCCUAGACCCCUCCGCAAGAUCCCAGGAGGGCUGCGGGGCAGGAAGCCAGGCAGUGAAGGCUGCUCCCAAGGACUUGGAGCUCACCUUCCUUCCCAGCUUUGUGAUGGGAGGGUGUCCAAGUUGUUCCUGAUGUUGAUUUAAGGAGGUGACUGAGCAGCGACACAGAGAAGCCAG